RNAcentral lists this ribosomal RNA (492 nucleotides) under uncultured bacterium. Its description in RNAcentral is "partial 16S ribosomal RNA". It matches the Rfam family "Bacterial small subunit ribosomal RNA", at positions 29 to 507 of the family's 1533-position model. The record is from RNAcentral.
AGUGAACGCUGGCGGUAGGCCUAACACGUGCAAGUCGAACGGCAGCACAGUGAGAGCUUGCUCUUACGGGUGGCGAGUGGCGGACGGGUGAGGAAUACAUCGGAAUCUACUUUUUCGUGGGGGAUAACGUAGGGAAACUUACGCUAAUACCGCAUACGACCUACGGGUGAAAGCAGGGGAUCUUCGGACCUUGCGCGAUUGAAUGAGCCGAUGUCGGAUUAGCUAGUUGGCGGGGUAAAGGCCCACCAAGGCGACGAUCCGUAGCUGGUCUGAGAGGAUGAUCAGCCACACUGGAACUGAGACACGGUCCAGACUCCUACGGGAGGCAGCAGUGGGGAAUAUUGGACAAUGGGCGCAAGCCUGAUCCAGCCAUACCGCGUGGGUGAAGAAGGCCUUCGGGUUGUAAAGCCCUUUUGUUGGGAAAGAAAAGCAGCAGGUUAAUACCCCGCUGUUCUGACGGUACCCAAAGAAUAAGCACCGGCUAACUUCGUG